Hordeum vulgare subsp. vulgare (domesticated barley) is the source of this 714-nucleotide long non-coding RNA. RefSeq lists it as uncharacterized. The transcript has 3 exons. The record is from RefSeq and is a predicted model, not a curated record. Lineage: Eukaryota; Viridiplantae; Streptophyta; Magnoliopsida; Poales; Poaceae.
CUAGUCAUUGUGAGCUCUGAUUGAUAAGAUGUCUACAAGCAGCAAGCAUUGGAUUAUCGUUGUGUUGCUGUUUCUUGCGUUCCUCCAACUCGUCUCUGUGCAUGGCAGACCUCCGCCCGACAGAACUGGAACAGCUUUGUAUAGGACACGAGUCAGUCCACUCACCUUGGUGACUAUCUUCAUCCAGGAAACUGUCGCCGUAAAUAAACCAUGAGCUGAAAUUCGAGAUAUGUGUGCAUGUGUGCUUCAUUAUGUUAUUCAGUUUCCCAAGAAAUGAAAUGAAGUCAGAAUGUCGUGUACUACCGGUAAUCAAUAGUUUGUCAUGUACACUACAAGUAAGCUGAAGAUAAGGUCAUCGGAAAGUUUAGUCCUUCUAGGUGCACUUUGAUAUUAUUGUAGCUAGAAUCUUUAACCUUUCAAUACUAUUAUUACAAUUCCACUUGAGAGAUUUUCCUAAAUGUGUGAUCUUUGAGAAUCAAUAUCCUUUUUUUUUCUAGAAACACUUAUUUCGACGGAACGAUUGUGCACAACAUGUUGAUUCGACAGGUGAUUUCAAAAAAAAGUACACAUGGUCUAGACUCAAUUCUAGUCAAGUCAAGCGUCAAUCCUAAUAGGGCGGUGUCAAGAAAACUGAGGGCCGUUGUGAAUUGUAGUGUGUGUUCUUAAUAAAAAUAUAUCAAUAAAUUGCAAUAUAGAAUGUGUGUGUGGACCUGG